Molecule: ribosomal RNA, 439 nt
Filed under: uncultured bacterium
Lineage: Bacteria
Description: partial 16S ribosomal RNA
Rfam family: Bacterial small subunit ribosomal RNA
Source: RNAcentral
CUACGGGUCGCUGCAGUGAGGAAUAUUGCACAAUGGGGGGAACCCUGAUGCAGCAACGCCGCGUGGAGGAUGACGCAUUUCGGUGUGUAAACUCCUUUUAUAUGUCAAGAAAAUGACGGUAGCAUAUGAAUAAGCGCCGGCUAACUCCGUGCCAGCAGCCGCGGUAAUACGGAGGGCGCAAGCGUUACUCGGAAUCACUGGGCGUAAAGGACGCGUAGGCGGGUUGAAAAGUCAGGUGUGAAAGCCUACAGCUUAACUGUAGAACUGCACUUGAAACUCUCAAUCUAGAGUAUGGGAGGGGCAGAUGGAAUUAGUGGUGUAGGGGUAAAAUCCGUAGAUAUCACUAGGAAUACCUAAAGCGAAGGCGAUCUGCUGGAACAUUACUGACGCUAAGGCGUGAAAGCGUGGGGAGCAAACAGGAUUAGAUACCCCAGUAGUC